Molecule: long non-coding RNA, 556 nt
Organism: Poecilia latipinna (sailfin molly)
Lineage: Eukaryota; Metazoa; Chordata; Actinopteri; Cyprinodontiformes; Poeciliidae
Exons: 5
Source: RefSeq, a predicted model, not a curated record
CACCACUGCUGAGUCGUCUCCAACGCACCAGUACUUUCCCUGGGAGUCUGGACAGACAACAGGACUAAUGAAGCCCAGAGCUCACACAGAAACUGAUAGCUGAGUUUCAUCUGCUGACGCCUAAAGAAAGUGGAGCAGGUUAUCUGUCUCUUUCCUUCGCCUGCCCACAGAUCUGCUCACUGGAAUCUCGAGGGAGGAUAGAAUGGGCCUUCUUCUAUUGGUUAAUUGGUGAGAGGCGGGGAAAUCAUCCACCUUGAAGAAAAGGGUUCAGCAGUUGAGAUUCAUGAAAGUGAAAAUGACGGACAUCUCAUCAUCACCCACUAAAAACAGUUGAGACAGAAGACACACAGAGAUGAUAGGUAGCCCAAGAGGACUGAGGUGAUUACAUGUGUAUUUUACACUGUCUUCAUUACAUUAGCUAGGCCAUCAUAAAGCUCACACACACAGAGCUCUCUGGCAGAAUGCGGUGAAAUGUCCCAGGCCAUCUUUGGUCAAGCUUCUCUAGAAAGUGACGGCUAUAUAAUAUUUGUUAAAUAUGCUUGAAUGUUGCCUACUU